Molecule: microRNA precursor, 61 nt
Filed under: Chrysemys picta bellii (western painted turtle)
Lineage: Eukaryota; Metazoa; Chordata; Testudines; Emydidae
Also listed under: 2 other names
Description: Cpi-Mir-1-P1_pre stem-loop
Rfam family: mir-1 microRNA precursor family
About the family: This family represents the microRNA (miRNA) mir-1 family. miRNAs are transcribed as ~70nt precursors (modelled here) and subsequently processed by the Dicer enzyme to give a ~22nt product.
Source: RNAcentral
ACAUACUUCUUUAUGUACCCAUAUGAACAUAUAAUGCUAUGGAAUGUAAAGAAGUAUGUAU